Long non-coding RNA from Mesoplodon densirostris (Blainville's beaked whale), 1544 nucleotides. RefSeq lists it as uncharacterized. NCBI's taxonomy places the organism in Eukaryota, Metazoa, Chordata, Mammalia, Artiodactyla, Ziphiidae. The transcript has 3 exons. The record is from RefSeq and is a predicted model, not a curated record.
GCGUGGAGGUGGUGGGGCACGGGUGAGGCCGCGUGGCCGCUGGGUAACAGGCGGGCGGAAGUGUCGCCCACUGGCCGUGCCCGCAGUGUCCCGGCGCUGGGACCAUCCCACAUCCUUCAGGAAAAGAAAGGCAGCAUAUUAUAGUGCAGAGAACAGAGACUUUGGAAACAAACCUGGAUUUAUACUCUGACUCUGCAAUUUACUGUUUAUGGUCAAGUCACAUAAUCUGCAUCUUUGUUUCUUCAUCUACAAUAUGGGUGGAACAAUUGACCUUUCAGGACUCUUUUGUGAAAAUGAAGGAAGCAACAUAGAAGUCAUCUCUUCCGCCCCUAGCAGACUGAUUUGUCUGCACGUGGUUGGGCACAUGGCCCAGCCUGGGAUAGUAUUCUAUCCUCCUGGCUAUUGUGACUGAUACAGAGCUGCGUCUGUGACCUAUGCUGCAGCAGCCACAGUCCUCCAUCCAGUUUUUUUUAACCAGCUUCAUCAAAAUUCUCCUCCGCCCUGGAUAACAAGCCGCACAGUCCAAUGUGUUAACCACUAGCUACAUGUAGCUAUUUAAUUUCAAAUUAAUUAAAAUUAAAUAAAAUUUAUAACUCAGUUCCUCAGUCCUACGAGCCACAUUUGGAGUUCUCAAUAGCCACAUGUGGCUAACAGCUACUGUGCUUACCAGCACAGAUGCAGAAGUUACAUCGGGCAGCACUGAUACCUCAGACUGACUGGCAACAACGGCCCCCCUCAAAAAGCGUAAGAAGGUUUAUGAGAACGAAGCUGACACCAAGACAUAAGCGAGAGAGAUGAGAGAGAACUGCUAUGGCUUUUAAGUAUCUCAUUCCCAAUUAUUCUGGUUCCCUCCGAAAUGUUGUUAUAUGGUGCAAGAAAUUCCUCCUUUUGGUCUUCAAACAGUUCAAGUUGAACUUCUGUCACUUACAACCAAAAAAUCUUGAUGAAUCACAUUCUUUGGCUUGACGGGCAGCAAACCAGAUGCAGAAUCCUGGAGGGCUAACUCUGGUAAGGAUCUGUAAACGAGACAGAGCUGGACCCUAAAAGUACUACAACAAGGGGUGAACAUUUUGGCCUGUCUUCACGGCCACCUUCCUACUUACUUAGUUGGGGCCUUCUUUUAAGAAACCUUGUCUCAGGACUUCCCUGGUGGUGCAGUGGUUAAGAAUCUGCCUGCCAAUGCAGGGGACACGGGUUUGAUCCCUGGUCCAGGAAGAUCCCACAUGCUGGGGAGCAGCUAAACCCGUGCACCUCAACUACUGAGCCCACGUGCCACAACUACUGAAGCCUGCGCACCUAGAGCCCGUGCUCCACAGCAAGAGAAGCCACUGCAAUGAGAAGUCCCCACACCAAAACAAAGAGUAGCCCCCACUCGCCACAACUAGAGAAAGCCCAAGUGCAGCAACGAAGACCCAACACAGCCAAAAAAUACAUAAAAUUAAAGAAAAAACCAACCUUGUCUCUCCCUAUGUUGAAUCCCAUGUAUCAUAAAUUCAUCUUCUUAGUGUCCCCAGACUCACCACUGGGCACCCAAUCAUUCUCUU